GGAAGUAAAAGUCGUAACAAAGGUUUCCGUAGGUGAACCUGCGGAAGGAUCAUUACAGAGUUCAUGCCCGAAAGGGUAGACCUCCCACCCUUGUGUAUUAUUACUUUGUUGCUUUGGCGAGCGCAAGCUCGCCAGAGAAUACCAAAACUCUUUUUAUUAAUGUCGUCUGAGUACUAUAUAAUAGUUAAAACUUUCAACAACGGAUCUCUUGGUUCUG
Molecule: unclassified non-coding RNA, 217 nt
Filed under: plant metagenome
Description: partial contains small subunit ribosomal RNA, internal transcribed spacer 1, and 5.8S ribosomal RNA
Rfam family: Eukaryotic small subunit ribosomal RNA (bases 1-55)
Source: RNAcentral